UUCACAGACAUGUCUAUUU
This 19-nucleotide small nuclear RNA is filed under the name Arabidopsis thaliana (thale cress). Its description in RNAcentral is "snRNA_14724". The record is from RNAcentral. Lineage: Eukaryota; Viridiplantae; Streptophyta; Magnoliopsida; Brassicales; Brassicaceae.